CUUCAAGUCAGGCUGGUCGAUGCCCGACGCGAUCCGGUACGGAUCGUAGGGCUUAAUCGGGAAUGUGGUGACGACGCAUAUCGUGGUGUCCAAUCCUUAGCUGCCCCCGCAACUGUCAGCGUGGAGCCGGCCCAUCGCAGCCACUGGACAUAAGGUCCGGGAAGGCGGGUUUCGUUGUCGAAGCGCAAGCCAGGAGACCGGUCGACGGAAGCGAAACCUC
RNAcentral lists this non-coding RNA (220 nucleotides) under Fulvimarina pelagi. RNAcentral also lists the same sequence under 1 other name. Lineage: Bacteria; Pseudomonadati; Pseudomonadota; Alphaproteobacteria; Hyphomicrobiales; Aurantimonadaceae. The record is from RNAcentral.